AACAUCUAAGUACCCCGAGGAAAAGAAAUCAACCGAGAUUCCGAAAGUAGCGGCGAGCGAAAUUGGACUAGCCCUUAAGCUUUACACGCGUUAGACGAACGGUCUGGAAAGUCCGACGAUACAGGGUGAUAGUCCCGUAGUUGACGACGUGUGUUCAGUGAAAUCGAGUAGGGCGGGACACGUGAUAUCCUGUCUGAAUAUGGGGGGACCAUCCUCCAAGGCUAAAUACUACUGACUGACCGAUAGUGAACCAGUACCGUGAGGGAAAGGCGAAAAGAACCCCUGUGAGGGGAGUGAAAUAGAACCUGAAACCGUGUACGUACAAGCAGUAGGAGCAGGCUUUGUCCUGUGACUGCGUACCUUUUGUAUAAUGGGUCAGCGACUUAUAUUCAGUGGCAAGGUUAACCAUCUAGGGGAGCCGUAGGGAAACCGAGUCUUAACUGGGCGUUCAGUCUCUGGAUAUAGACCCGAAACCAGGUGAUCUAGCCAUGGGCAGGUUGAAGGUUGAGUAACAUCAACUGGAGGACCGAACCGACUAAUGUUGAAAAAUUAGCGGAUGACUUGUGGCUAGGGGUGAAAGGCCAAUCAAACCUGGAGAUAGCUGGUUCUCCCCGAAAGCUAUUUAGGUAGCGCCUCGGACGAAUACUACUGGGGGUAGAGCACUGUUAAGGCUAGGGGGUCAUCCCGACUUACCAACCCUUUGCAAACUCCGAAUACCAGUAAGUACUAUCCGGGAGACACACGGCGGGUGCUAACGUCCGUCGUGGAGAGGGAAACAACCCAGACCGCCAGCUAAGGUCCCAAAUUACUACUAAGUGGGAAACGAUGUGGGAAGGCUCAGACAGCCAGGAUGUUGGCUUAGAAGCAGCCAUCAUUUAAAGAAAGCGUAAUAGCUCACUGGUCGAGUCGGCCUGCGCGGAAGAUGUAACGGGGCUAAGUAGUAAACCGAAGCUGCGGCAAUAUACUUUUGUAUAUUGGGUAGGGGAGCGUUCUGUAAGCGGUUGAAGGUGUGUGGUAACGCAUGCUGGACGUAUCAGAAGUGCGAAUGCUGACAUGAGUAACGAUAAAGGGGGUGAAAAACCUCCUCGCCGGAAGACCAAGGGUUCCUGUCCAACGUUAAUCGGGGCAGGGUAAGUCGACCCCUAAGGCGAGGCCGAAAGGCGUAGUCGAUGGGAAACGGGUUAAUAUUCCCGUACUUCUUACAAUUGCGAUGGGGGGACGGAGAAGGCUAGGUGGGCCUGGCGACGGUUGUCCAGGUUCAAGUGCGUAGGCUUAAGA
RNAcentral lists this ribosomal RNA (1278 nucleotides) under Vibrio parahaemolyticus. RNAcentral's name for it is "partial 23S ribosomal RNA". It matches the Rfam family "Bacterial large subunit ribosomal RNA", at positions 197 to 1531 of the family's 2925-position model. Lineage: Bacteria; Pseudomonadati; Pseudomonadota; Gammaproteobacteria; Vibrionales; Vibrionaceae. The record is from RNAcentral.